Chinchilla lanigera (long-tailed chinchilla) is the source of this 2281-nucleotide long non-coding RNA. RefSeq lists it as uncharacterized. The record is from RefSeq and is a predicted model, not a curated record. The transcript has 2 exons. Lineage: Eukaryota; Metazoa; Chordata; Mammalia; Rodentia; Chinchillidae.
CAUCCGGAUGGUGUGGGCCUCCUGGAACUUCAGGCCCUGGGGGAUUCCAGCACUCUCAGCCCUCUUCCUGGGAUUAUUGCUCACCUCCUCUCCUGGAUGCUUUGCACAUUCCAGCUUGAGCAUGAAACACCCUCAAGGACCCUGCGGGGGUUGAGGGGCAUCCUAGGCUUUUCUGCUUCUUCUUGAAUGAGAAGAUGACAAAGCCAAGAAGAAACUCAGUCAUUUCUCCCUUCCCACUUCCAGGUGGAAAAACGGGGCCAAGAGAGGCUACAACCGGCCCCACAGCAUUCAGCGGACAGGGAGAGAGCAAGGACAGGGCCCUUCCUGACCUUCCUCUUCGGCUGCUCUCCCUUCCCUCUUCCUGAUGUUCAGAAGCUCCAGGAGCAGUGACCACACCCCCUGGCACUGCAACCAGGCUACGCCUGCGCCCGAAGUGACAUGGAGAGCACGGCUGGCUUCCUUGCUCAGCAUCCAGCUUCCUGGCCAGAGUCCUCCUUCCCCACCUGGAGUUGUCUCCUGGAGCUUGCUGAUAACCUGUAAGCCUCCUUGGGUAAUAACGGCACCCGCGGCACUAGUGAAACAGGAGAAGCCGGCGUCCCGCAGGAAACGCCAGCUCUGCCCACGCAGCGGGUGACAUCCCAAACACCACCGUGAAUCAAGACCCCGUCUUCAUCUCCGCCUCCGAAUCCUCUGGCUGCAGCCAGCCCACUGCAGACAGCACAGUGCACCCCCAAAUCCUGGCACUGCCUCCCAGGGUCCCCUCUCCCAGCAGUGCUCAGGAGAUUGCUGGCGUCUGCGUCCUGCUUGGCCAAUGCCUUCGCCAAUUUGUUCCUUCAGGUGGCAGGCGGGACGGCGGAAAAAGCUGGCCUCUUCCAGUUUCCACCAGUGGGGGCAACACCGAGGCCCAGGACGAUCGGCACCACCCACCACCGCCACCCGAGGCACAGGACUGCAGGGCACCCCUGCCGCACCCAAGGCGCUGCUGCCUCCUGCAGAGCUGGAGAGAGGAGCCACAGGGAAGGAAGGUGUUUUUUCUCUGUCCCGAGGCCACUGCCCUGAUCCGGCGCUCACCGCCUUGCCCCGGGCCUGCGCCGGCCUCCUGACGGGCUCCUUGCUGUGAGCCAAGGUCGCCGGGCCUCCAAGUCCCAGCUCUCCUGGCCUCCCGUGGUUCCUUGUUUCCUGUGAACACAGCUCACUGCUGACCCCCGGGGCUCCCAUGACUGCCCAGUCCACGAGGCCUCUGUCUGCAUCGCCACUUCUCACACCCUCAGCUUGGACACUGGGACCGGCCAGCCUGCUCUACCCUCUCUGUACCCAAGGUACGGAUGCCCCCAGGUGCCUCCUCCUUGUGAAGCCCAAGUUCCUACACCACACUGCCCUCCGUCCCCUCAUCUUCCAGCCAAAGGGAGCCCGCAGCAGUCCUGGCUUCGCCUCUUCUCUCCCAUACCUGGGCUGGAUCCGCAACCCCCUCCUCCCCAGGCUCCCUGAGAAGGAACCCAUCCGCCAGGGGCCAGGGCACCCAGCUAAACUGAUGGCUGGUCCGUCACAUCUGCCCUUGGUGUGGUGGUGACUGGGAUGAACAGCUUGGACUUGUCACUGGGCUGGAGCUGGGCAUUGCCUUUGGAGGAGGCAAGGGCAGCUGCCAAUUGGGAGCCCGGACCCCUGCCAUCCAUCCCACCUCUGCCAGCUCCCCUCCUCUCUCCCACUGUCUUGAGGCUGAGCAGAUGCUGCUGCAAGGGCUUCUGGGUAUUUCUGCAAGUGCGGGUUCUCGAGCCUUCACUUGAAGCUCAUUUCUGCUCUGCACUCUCUGGGAGCAGGGGCACCCCAGGAUGAUCCACUCCAACUUCUCACCCACAAAUCUCCACUCCCAUCCUGGCCCCGCGGAACUCCGCACCACACCACUGCAGAUAGCGCUCUUUCCCACCAACCUCUGCUGGGGUCCCAGGGAUCUCACAGCAGAGAUCUGAGUUGCCAUCAUCAACUGAUCAUCACUGGUGCAGGAGAUAAAACACGGUCCUCAUCUCUGUGCACGCUUGUGCACAAGCUCGUGUGCACGCACACACACACACACACACAUGCACAGACUUGGCUGGGAGACCCACAGCUCUCUCCCCCUGUUUGUUUUUAAAUCUCACCGUGGCUGCCUUGAAGCUGAGAAAACAGACGCUGGGCUGAGGGCCUUGGCACUGGCCCAGGGUAUCUGGGACACCCAUGUUUGCAAAGAAAGCAUUUGUGAAGUGUGAAGAAAUCUGAACAGUGCCGUUCAAAAACUGUGUUUAAA